CAAUAAAAUUACCCUAGAAAACCUUAAGGGGUUUGUUUAAAUUGCAUAUUAGUAUAUAGUAUAAAGUUGACAGGGCAGUGGCUAGAAAAUAUUUAAAUUACAGAAACUGUUGGAUUUAAGUUUCUUUUAGGACAUUUAGAAGAAACAAAUCUGGUAGUACCCCAGUGACAUAGAGAACAGAAUUCUACAUAGGGUCCUCACACUGCCCCAGACUUGUUUACAUAUAUUCUUUUUGAAGGCCUUAUUUAGGUCUGACCAUACCCUGGAGUCUUGCUCUCAGAACUGAUUAGUAGAGAUCAAGAGUUUUGGCUGGUGAAUCCUGCUGCCUUUCUAGAGCUGGUGCUCACAAUUUCCUGAAACCCAAAAGCAGAUGAAUGGGAAAAAUAAAGUAUGUAUUAUAGAGUCUUAGCUUUUAAGUUUUCUAUUAAAACCAGUGCUUGCAGAGACAUUCUAUUUAGCAACUUGUUUUCUAUUCCUGCAGAUCCAGUAAUUGCUCCCCAAGUAACAAAAAAGUAAACAUAAACAGAAUAAAAUUUUCUCUAAACUGCAUUAAACUCAUCCUUUCUAUAUCUUUUCUAUCUGUCUAUAUUUAGCUUUUAUUUCUUACAACUUUUUAAAAAAUUUGAUGACAGAGAAACAGAAGAAUAAAAAUGCUGGGCCCUUUAUCUAAAUCCUGAAAAUUCCUAAACCCUUAGUACUAGCUCCCAGGGUAUUAUGAGAAUUAAAUCACAUAAUGUGUUAUGCCCAGCACAGUGCUCUGUAUCAUACUCUUGAGCACAUAGUACUUGCUUAAUAAACAUUGCAGUAGUACAUGUGUACAUGUUGUUUUUUAAACCCAGACUUAUUCAAACAUUGCUGCCUUCUGUUUCCUCUAUAAACUUAAAGAGCCAGCAAAGAAUAUAAAACUUUAGGAUGGAGAUGGGUUGUCCUUAUUUGCACGACAAGUAUUUGGUUGUGAGAAGGGUGUUAAGUGUAAGGGACCCUGUGCUCUGCCUGCUUUCUCUAAUGCUAAUAAUGAGCCAAGGGGGAGCAACAUCAGCAUUGACAGGAGACUUGUUUAAAACACUCUUUCAUAAACCCUUUUCAAACCUGCAGAAUCACCUUACAUAAUGUGGGACCAAAAUUACCAAGUGAUUUAUACUUGUGCCCUCCCCACAGCUUCUGUUUAUUGUUCUGGGUGGAAGGAUCCAUGUUGUUUUAAUGAAGGGCCUCAUGUGACUCUAAGGUGAGGCCAGAAUCAAGUAUGAAGGCUUCAAAAUACAUUUUCGAGAGUUAAGUUCCACCUUUGCACUAAAGGGUGGUCACAGGGCCUGUUCUGUUUGGGUUUGGUAGGGACAGGUCAGUGUGGUGCAUAUUUCCAUUACUGUAGCAGAAAUUGCUGGAGUCUCUGGCAGGGGAGGGCACCUGAGGACAGGAAAGGAGAAGCUUAUAUUUUUGUCUUCAUGGAGCAGCUCAUUAUUCCUGAAUCUAUUCUGUUUAAAAGACAGCAGCAUAUUCUCCAUAUGCAGGUGUAACUUGUCCAGAGAAUCUCAUCUGAGAAGGAAUUCCAGAGGAGGAGGAGAAAGAAAAAAAUGGCUUUUCUUCAGGUAAACAUGUGUCAGAUGAAGAGCUGUGUCCACUCUGCCUCCUGGACUGCCAUGCGUUUAGUACUCACAAACCUUUACUUCUCUACUUGUGUUUUUCCUCCCUAAGGAGUUUGGUUUAACUACUUCUUAAAAUUCUUAUGAUAGUCAAGGGUCUCUGGAAAACGUUUCUGUCCUAUGUCCCACAGACUUCUCUACAUUCUGUACGUCAUAGCUUCUUAUAUGCCAUGCAGAAUGCUCCGCAAGAAUUUAUGACCUGCAAUAUUAAAAAUGUUCCCUUUGUGGCUGUUGAACAUGGAAAGAUGUGGAUACUCAAGGUUUCUAUUGGGGAAAACUGUGGCCCUUAGUAAAGAUGGAGAACAUGUAAUGUUGAGGCUCCAGCUGUGUGUUCCAUUAGCUCUAUGCAGAAGAGGAUUAAGAAAAUGCUGAUUUAAAUGGAAUGGCAUUUAUUACCCAGAAAGUUCUGAAAAAAAUUAUUAGGAGAUACUUGCUCUCUAGGGUGCUAAAUGAAGCCUAAUUAAAAUUCCUACUAAAAAUUACAGAACAUAGGAGUUACCUGUAUUUUGAAGUUUGCAUAAACUGUUGUUUAUGGUUAAAUUCAGACUAGUUUACUGUUUUGGGGAGGAAUAUUUCAACAGUGAUGCUGUGUUCUUCUGUGUGCAGUAGCACAUCAUAAAAAUUUGUCCUAGUGCAGUUAAUGGUUAAUGAUUCACUUGGUGAAAUAGCUGAUUGAUUUUUUUCACUGUAGAGAUAACUAUUUUUCUCUUCAUAAUUAUCUUUAUGCAGCUGCUCUACACAAGUGAUCACAUUUAAUCUGGCAGUUCUCCUUUUAUUUUUUCUACAUAUUUUUCUUUAGAAAAUGAAGGCUCUUAUCUUUGUUUACAGGCUAGAAAAACU
This 2480-nucleotide long non-coding RNA is filed under the name Homo sapiens (human). RNAcentral's name for it is "HSALNT0396537". Lineage: Eukaryota; Metazoa; Chordata; Mammalia; Primates; Hominidae. The record is from RNAcentral.